GCAGCCGACUCCUCUCCUCCCUCACUCCGGAAGGCACUUGCUUCGAUUGUCCCUCUCAUCGCUUGGGCUAUUUGGAAGCACCGCAACGCGUGUAUCUUUGACCAUAGGCAACCCUCCAUCAAUCUCCUGUUCGCAGCGAUUCAAGAUGACGUGCGCGCCUAGGCCAAGACCGGCGCCAAAGGGCUACAAACUCUAAUAGAUGUAAUGUAA
This 210-nucleotide ribosomal RNA is filed under the name Triticum aestivum (bread wheat). RNAcentral describes it as "partial small subunit ribosomal RNA". Lineage: Eukaryota; Viridiplantae; Streptophyta; Magnoliopsida; Poales; Poaceae. The record is from RNAcentral.